This 484-nucleotide ribosomal RNA is filed under the name uncultured bacterium. RNAcentral's name for it is "partial 16S ribosomal RNA". It matches the Rfam family "Bacterial small subunit ribosomal RNA", at positions 28 to 523 of the family's 1533-position model. The record is from RNAcentral.
GACGAACGCUGGCGGCGUGCUUAACACAUGCAAGUCGAACGAUGAAGCUGGAGCUUGCUCCGGUGGAUUAGUGGCGAACGGGUGAGUAACACGUGAGUAAUCUGCCCUUGACUCUGGGAUAACUGCGGGAAACUGUAGCUAAUACCGGAUACGACACCUUCGGGCAUCCGAUGGGUGUGGAAAGAAUUUCGGUCAAGGAUGAACUCGCGGCCUAUCAGCUAGUUGGUGAGGUAAUGGCUCACCAAGGCGACGACGGGUAGCCGGCCUGAGAGGGGGACCGGACAGACUCGGACUGGGACACGGCCCAGACUCCUACGGGAGGCAGCAGUGGGGGAUAUUGCACAAUGGGCGAAAGCCUGAUGCAGCAACGCCGCGUGAGGGAUGAAGGCCUUCGGGUUGUAAACCUCUUUUAGUUGGGAAGAAGCGAAAGUGACGGUACCAACAGAAAAAGCACCGGCUAACUACGUGCCAGCAGCCGCCGCCG